UACGUAGGGUGCGAGCGUUAAUCGGAGUUACUGGGCGUAAAGCGUGCGCAGGCGGUUUUGUAAGACAGAUAUGAAAUCCCCGGGCUUAACCUGGGAACUGCAUUUGUGACUGCAAGACUAGAGUGCGGCAGAGGGGGGUAGAAUUCCACGUGUAGCGGUGAAAUGCGUAGAUAUGUGGAGGAAUACCGAUGGCGAAGGCAGCUCCCUGGGUUGACACUGACGCUCAUGCGCGAAAGCGUGGGGAGCAAACAGG
Molecule: ribosomal RNA, 253 nt
Filed under: uncultured bacterium
Lineage: Bacteria
Description: partial 16S ribosomal RNA
Rfam family: Bacterial small subunit ribosomal RNA
Source: RNAcentral